UCCCUGGCAGUCUAGCAGUUAGAACUCUGCACUUACAAUGCAGGAGGUGCAGGUUCAAUCCCUGCUCAGGGAA
This 73-nucleotide transfer RNA is filed under the name Bos taurus (domestic cattle). It matches the Rfam family "tRNA". From Rfam's summary of the family: Transfer RNA (tRNA) molecules are approximately 80 nucleotides in length. Their secondary structure includes four short double-helical elements and three loops (D, anti-codon, and T loops). RNAcentral also lists the same sequence under 2 other names. The record is from Rfam by way of RNAcentral. Lineage: Eukaryota; Metazoa; Chordata; Mammalia; Artiodactyla; Bovidae.